RNAcentral lists this ribosomal RNA (742 nucleotides) under Priestia megaterium. RNAcentral describes it as "bacterial SSU rRNA". It matches the Rfam family "Bacterial small subunit ribosomal RNA", at positions 39 to 756 of the family's 1533-position model. Lineage: Bacteria; Bacillati; Bacillota; Bacilli; Caryophanales; Bacillaceae. The record is from RNAcentral.
GCGGCGAGGCCUACUUCAAGGCAAGUCGAAGCGAACUGAUUUAGAAAGCUUGGCUUCUAUGACGUUAGCGGCGGACGGGUGAGUAACACGUGGGCAACCUGCCUGUAAGACUGGGAUAACUUCGGGAAACCGAAGCUAAUACCGGAUAGGAUCUUCUCCUUCAUGGGAGAUGAUUGAAAGAUGGUUUCGGCUAUCACUUACAGAUGGGCCCGCGGUGCAUUAGCUAGUUGGUGAGGUAACGGCUCACCAAGGCAACGAUGCAUAGCCGACCUGAGAGGGUGAUCGGCCACACUGGGACUGAGACACGGCCCAGACUCCUACGGGAGGCAGCAGUAGGGAAUCUUCCGCAAUGGACGAAAGUCUGACGGAGCAACGCCGCGUGAGUGAUGAAGGCUUUCGGGUCGUAAAACUCUGUUGUUAGGGAAGAACAAGUACGAGAGUAACUGCUCGUACCUUGACGGUACCUAACCAGAAAGCCACGGCUAACUACGUGCCAGCAGCCGCGGUAAUACGUAGGUGGCAAGCGUUAUCCGGAAUUAUUGGGCGUAAAGCGCGCGCAGGCGGUUUCUUAAGUCUGAUGUGAAAGCCCACGGCUCAACCGUGGAGGGUCAUUGGAAACUGGGGAACUUGAGUGCAGAAGAGAAAAGCGGAAUUCCACGUGUAGCGGUGAAAUGCGUAGAGAUGUGGAGGAACACCAGUGGCGAAGGCGGCUUUUUGGUCUGUAACUGACGCUGAGGCGCGA